GAUGAAGAACGUAGCGAAAUGCGAUAAGUAAUGUGAAUUGCAGAAUUCAGUGAAUCAUCGAAUCUUUGAACGCACAUUGCGCCCGCUAGUAUUCUGGCGGGCGUGCCUGUCCGAGCGUCAUUUCAACCCUCAAGCCCCCGGGCUUGGUGUUGGGGAUCGGCGAGCCUCCGCGCCCGCCGUCCCCUAAAUCUAGUGGCGGUCUCGCUGUAGCUUCCUCUGCGUAGUAGCACACCUCGCACUGGGAAACAGCGCGGCCACGCCGUUAAACCCCCAACUUCUGAACGUUUGACCUCGGAUCAGGUAGGAAUACCCGCUGAACUUAAGCAUAUCAAUAAGCGGAGGA
This 343-nucleotide unclassified non-coding RNA is filed under the name soil metagenome. RNAcentral describes it as "partial contains 5.8S ribosomal RNA, internal transcribed spacer 2, and large subunit ribosomal RNA". The stretch from base 1 to 120 matches the Rfam family "5.8S ribosomal RNA", at positions 35 to 154 of the family's 154-position model. The record is from RNAcentral.